GACGAACGCUGGCGGCGUGCUUAACACAUGCAAGUCGAACGGAAAGGCCCUGCUUUUGUGGGGUGCUCGAGUGGCGAACGGGUGAGUAACACGUGAGUAACCUGCUCUUGACUUUGGGAUAACUUCACGAAACUGGGGCUAAUACCGUAUAGGAUAUCCUGCUGCAUGGAGGGCGUUGGAAAUUUUCGGCGGUUGGGGUUGGAUUGGCGGGUUAUCAGCUUGUUGGUCGGGUAGGCGUUUACCCAGGCUUUGACCGGUCGGCGGCCUGAGAGGGUGGCCGGCCUCCUGGCGACUGCGAGACGGCCCAGACGCCAACGGGAGGCAGAAGUGGGGAACCUUGCCCAAUGGGAGGAAGCCGGAGGAGGAAACCCUGCGGUCGUGAUGCCGGCCUUCGGGUUAUAAAACGCUUUCGCCUGUGACGAAGCGUUAGUGACGGUAAUGGAUAAAGAAGCACCGGCUAACUACGUG
RNAcentral lists this ribosomal RNA (468 nucleotides) under uncultured bacterium. RNAcentral describes it as "partial 16S ribosomal RNA". It matches the Rfam family "Bacterial small subunit ribosomal RNA", at positions 28 to 507 of the family's 1533-position model. The record is from RNAcentral.